ACGUAAUAGAUACCCGGGUAGUCCACGCCCUAAACGAUGUCUACUAGUUGUCGGGUCUUAAUUGACUUGGUAAACGCAGCUAAACGCGUGAAAGUAGACCGCCUGGGGAGUACGGUCGCAAGAUUAAAACUCAAAGGAAUUGACGGGGACCCGCACAAGCGGUGGAUGAUGUGGAUUAAUUCGAUGCAACGCGAAAAACCUUACCUACCCUUGACAUGGAUGGAAUCCCUGAGAGAUCGGGGAGUGCUCGAAAGAGAACCAUUACACAGGUGCUGCAUGGCUGUCGUCAGCUCGUGUCGUGAGAUGUUGGGUUAAGUCCCGCAACGAGCGCAACCCUUGUCAUUAGUUGCUACGAAAGGGCACUCUAAUGAGACUGCCGGUGACAAACCGAAGGAAGGUGGGGAUGACGUCAAGUCCUCAUGGCCCUUAUGGGUAGGGCUUCACACGUCAUACAAU
This 456-nucleotide ribosomal RNA is filed under the name uncultured bacterium. RNAcentral describes it as "bacterial SSU rRNA". It matches the Rfam family "Bacterial small subunit ribosomal RNA", at positions 773 to 1231 of the family's 1533-position model. The record is from RNAcentral.